Molecule: ribosomal RNA, 420 nt
Filed under: uncultured bacterium
Lineage: Bacteria
Description: partial 16S ribosomal RNA
Rfam family: Bacterial small subunit ribosomal RNA
Source: RNAcentral
AAUAUUGGACAAUGGGCGAAAGCCUGAUCCAGCCAUGCCGCGUGUGUGAAGAAGGUCUNCGGAUUNUNAAGCACUUUAAGGGGGGNGGAAGGGCAGUAAGGUAAUACUUUGCUGCUUUGACGUUACCGACAGAAUAAGCACCGGCUAACUUCGUCCCAGCAGCCGCGGUAAUACGAAGGGUGCAAGCGUUAAUCGGAAUUACUGGGCGUAAAGCGCGCGUAGGUGGUUUGUUAAGUUGGAAGUGAAAGCCCCGGGCUCAACCUGAGAACUGCAUUCAAAACUGGCGAGCUUGAGUCUGGGAGAGGGUAGUGGAAUUUCCUGUGUAGCGGUGAAAUGCGUAGAUAUAGGAAGGAACACCAGUGGCGAAGGCGACCACCUGGGCUAGUACUGACACUGAGGUGCGAAAGCGUGGGGAGCAAA